CAGACCUGAAUUCAAAUCUCAGCCUUCCACUGAUUAGCCCUGCGUCCCUGGAAAAGGUUUCUAGUUAUUGUUUUGUUUACCUUUCUGAGUCUUAUUUCCCUUUUAAUAAAGGAGGGGUCCUUUGAUCAAAGUACUUAGUACAUGAAGUAUGUUAUGGGCGCUCAGCAAUAGUAUUCUGUAUCACUGUAAUUAUCGUUUCUGAUCACACCAAGUCACACACAAAGGUACAGUCAGGAAUUUUCAAGUCACUGACUGAUGUGCAUGAGUUUAGUCCUAUGAACUUGGCUUUUGUUUAAAUACAAUAUACCAACCAAAAAUGACUUAUGGGAAUAGAUCUUUGGGAAUAAAUUAGAUUAUAAUAUUGAUAACCCUUUAGCAAGAAGUGGAGUGAAACUACUUUUAUACACCAUUACAUGGGUCCCCCUCCAUGUUUGAAGUGCAGUGAAAGGCUGAUCACACUCGAGUGGUUAACCUAAAAUGUAGGUGUUAGUGCUGUCACACAACAGAUUUUCCUGUGUACCAACAUUAUUGUCAAAUUAUAUAAAGUAAUUAGCACAGAAAGUAUGAUCAUGCAUCAUAUAUUUGUCUAAGAUACAAAAAGGAAAUAAAUUGUCUAAAGAAAAAGAGAGGGAAAUAAAGAAUAAAUCUGAAAAUGCCAAUCAGCAGGAAGAUCUGUAUCUUUCAGAGUUAAAUUACAAUACAUUCAGCAAUUAAAAUACAGAAUUAAGAAUGGAAUAAGAGAUUGGUGCCUAGAAAGAAGGAAGACUUAAGAGAUUUUAAAAUGGUAUCAAGACAAGAAUUUGGAAGUCACAACUGGUAGCCCAUGAGUGUGAUCUGCCCUAUGUACACAGUGAUUUUUUAAAAAAUUUGUAUUGGUUGCCAAUGUUGAAAUAUUGGUUGGACUUCACUUGGAAAGACUGAGUGCCUAGGAGCAUCAUUCUCUGGGGCAACCCUAGCCUGAAGUAGAGUCAAGACUGACACACCCCCAAUUUGCUAAGGUCCCAUGGAUACUUCUAACAGGUAUGCAGCUGCCUUCUCAUAUGCUUAGCUGCAGGACUCCUGGCUCAGAAGAAAAGGAUGUAUGGAUGAGGGUAGAAUAAAUAUAAGGGUACUUUAAAUAAACUAUUUUCUAAUGACAAGAUCUAGGACAUAAGGGAAAAAAAUGUCCAACUUUCUUAUUUUUUGCCAGUCCUCAGUGCACACUAGAAAUAUUCUUUAUGGAGGGACCUGUAUAAAAUAACUAAUAUUUAUGUACAAUAUAUACACUAUUUAUUCAUGUUAUUUUUGUGUAAGUAGUCUUUUUAAUCUUUACGCAAACACUCCGAAUAAGGUGUUGCUAAUGUUAUUUUCCCAUUUUACAGAUAGCCUGUAAAGUACAUUGAUUAGGUGUCAUGCUGAGGCCGUGAGUGAUAGAAUAAGGCUUAGAAAACAGUGCUUAAACCUUUGUAUUUAAUGUCCUUCCUACUUCCUCACUACUACCUUAGUAAUUUCUAGUGUAGUUAAAACAUGAAGGCUUGGGGUGUAACUCAGUGGUAGAGCAUGUGCCUAGCAUGCACAAGGCCCUGGUUCAGUCCCCAGUGCCAUACAGACACACACCCAAACACACAAAGAAAAAAACAAAACUUAUCCUUAAAAAAACCCUGAACUUAAAGUUUAAAAAUAAAGACAUUUUCCUGACAGAUAUAACUUAAGAUGCAAAUGUUUAGGGCUAUAAUAACCUAUUUGGAAAAAGUUCACUGAGUGACAUGGAAGCAUAUCACAAAUACAGAAUUAUAGCACAGAAUUUUAUGCUUUAUAAUUUUGUGGAAUUUAGGGUUCUUUUAACUGUAUAAAACUAUACUAUACACAAAAUGCAUAUCCCAUACAUACAUAGUUCAAUGUAUUUUUCACAAACUGAACACACGUUACAAACUAAUCAGCAUCCAAAUCAAGAAAAAGCAUACUAUCAACUCCCCAGAAGCUCCCUUCCAGUCUUUUACCAUUCCCCCCCCCACAAGGGUAACCACUAUGCUGAUUUCUGACACCAAUCUCUAGUUCUUAAAAUAUG
Molecule: long non-coding RNA, 2047 nt
Filed under: Marmota monax (woodchuck)
Lineage: Eukaryota; Metazoa; Chordata; Mammalia; Rodentia; Sciuridae
Source: RNAcentral